AACGAACGCUGGCGGCGUGCCUAAUACAUGCAAGUCGAACGAGAUAGUGUAGCAAUACAUGUGUAAAGUGGCAGACGGGUGAGUAAUACAUAGGUAACUUUCCUCCAAGAUGGGGACAACCUUCCGAAAGGAGGGCUAAUACCGAAUAAGACCACAGUGACUUCGGUCACAGGGGUUAAAGGUGGCCUCUAUUUAUAAGCUACCACUUGGAGAUAGGCUUAUGCACCAUCAGGUAGUUGGUAAGGUAACGGCUUACCAAGCCUUUGACGGUUAGCUG
RNAcentral lists this ribosomal RNA (277 nucleotides) under uncultured bacterium. Its description in RNAcentral is "partial 16S ribosomal RNA". It matches the Rfam family "Bacterial small subunit ribosomal RNA", at positions 29 to 289 of the family's 1533-position model. The record is from RNAcentral.